This 486-nucleotide ribosomal RNA is filed under the name Rhodococcus sp. MKW. Its description in RNAcentral is "bacterial SSU rRNA". It matches the Rfam family "Bacterial small subunit ribosomal RNA", at positions 369 to 868 of the family's 1533-position model. The record is from RNAcentral. Lineage: Bacteria; Bacillati; Actinomycetota; Actinomycetes; Mycobacteriales; Nocardiaceae.
AAAAUUCCGGGGGGAAAAACGUCGCCGCGCGAGGGAUUACGGGGCGGUCAAAAAAAGCCAAACCUCUUUCCCCAUGACGAAGCCCAAGUGACGGUCGUGGGAGAAUAAGCACCGGCCAACUACAUGCCAGCAGCCGCGGUAAUACGUAGGGUGCGAGCGUUGUCCGGAAUUACUGGGCGUAAAGAGCUCGUAGGCGGUUUGUCGCGUCGUCUGUGAAAUCCCGCAGCUCAACUGCGGGCUUGCAGGCGAUACGGGCAGACUCGAGUACUGCAGGGGAGACUGGAAUUCCUGGUGUAGCGGUGAAAUGCGCAGAUAUCAGGAGGAACACCGGUGGCGAAGGCGGGUCUCUGGGCAUUUAUUUAUGCUGAGGAGCGAAAGCGUGGGUAGCGAACAGGAUUAGAUACCCUGGUAGUCCACGCCGUAAACGGGGGCGCUAGGUGUGGGUUUCCUUCCAGGGAUCCGUGCCGUACCAACGCAUUAAGCGCC